RNAcentral lists this ribosomal RNA (492 nucleotides) under uncultured bacterium. Its description in RNAcentral is "partial 16S ribosomal RNA". It matches the Rfam family "Bacterial small subunit ribosomal RNA", at positions 29 to 507 of the family's 1533-position model. The record is from RNAcentral.
AGUGAACGCUGGCGGUAGGCCUAACACAUGCAAUUCGAACGGCAGCACAGUAAGAGCUUGCUCUUACGGGUGGCGAGUGGCGGACGAGUGAGGAAUACAUCGGAAUCUACUUUUUCGUGGGGGAUAACGUAGGGAAACUUACGCUAAUACCGCAUACGACCUACGGGUGAAAGCAGGGGAUCUUCGGACCUUGCGCGAUUGAAUGAGCCGAUGUCGGAUUAGCUAGUUGGCGGGGUAAAGGCCCACCAAGGCGACGAUCCGUAGCUGGUCUGAGAGGAUGAUCAGCCACACUGGAACUGAGACACGGUCCAGACUCCUACGGGAGGCAGCAGUGGGGAAUAUUGGACAAUGGGCGCAAGCCUGAUCCAGCCAUACCGCGUGGGUGAAGAAGGCCUUCGGGUUGUAAAGCCCUUUUGUUGGGAAAGAAAAGCAGCAGGUUAAUACCCCGCUGUUCUGACGGUACCCAAAGAAUAAGCACCGGCUAACUUCGUG